This 301-nucleotide ribosomal RNA is filed under the name uncultured bacterium. RNAcentral's name for it is "partial 16S ribosomal RNA". It matches the Rfam family "Bacterial small subunit ribosomal RNA", at positions 509 to 807 of the family's 1533-position model. The record is from RNAcentral.
CAGUAGCCACGGGAAUACGGAGGGUGCAAGCGUUAUCCGGAUUUAUUGGGUUUAAAGGGUCCGUAGGCGGACUUAUAAGUCAGUGGUGAAAGCCUGUCGCUUAACGAUAGAACUGCCAUUGAUACUGUAAGUCUUGAGUAUAUUUGAGGUAGCUGGAAUAAGUAGUGUAGCGGUGAAAUGCAUAGAUAUUACUUAGAACACCAAUUGCGAAGGCAGGUUACCAAGAUAUAACUGACGCUGAGGGACGAAAGCGUGGGUAGCGAACAGGAUUAGAUACCCCCGUAGUCCCUGUCUCUUAUAC